GGCCGACUGGCGCAAUGGUAGCGCGUCAGACUUCUAAUCUGAAGGCUGCGGGUUCGAGACCCGCGUUGGUCA
Molecule: transfer RNA, 72 nt
Filed under: Colletotrichum musicola
Lineage: Eukaryota; Fungi; Ascomycota; Sordariomycetes; Glomerellales; Glomerellaceae
Also listed under: 2 other names
Rfam family: tRNA
About the family: Transfer RNA (tRNA) molecules are approximately 80 nucleotides in length.
Source: Rfam by way of RNAcentral